AGAAUCAACGCUGGCGGCGUGCCUAACACAUGCAAGUCGAACGGGAAAGUGGAGCAAUCCAUGAGUAUAGUGGCGACCGGGUGAGUAACACGUGACUAACCUACCUUCGAGUGGGGGAUAACCUCGGGAAACCGAGGCUAAUACCGCAUAACAUCGCAAGAUCAAAGCAGCAAUGCGCUGGAAGAGGGGGUCGCGGCUGAUUAGCUAGUUGGCGGGUAACGCCCACCAAGGCGAAGAUCGGUA
RNAcentral lists this ribosomal RNA (243 nucleotides) under uncultured bacterium. RNAcentral describes it as "partial small subunit ribosomal RNA". It matches the Rfam family "Bacterial small subunit ribosomal RNA", at positions 26 to 285 of the family's 1533-position model. The record is from RNAcentral.